Molecule: long non-coding RNA, 246 nt
Filed under: Olea europaea (common olive)
Lineage: Eukaryota; Viridiplantae; Streptophyta; Magnoliopsida; Lamiales; Oleaceae
Description: long non-coding RNA (OEUR_LNC009459)
Source: RNAcentral
AGUAUCAUGCAUUGAUGGCACCGAGGACGUCGCCAAAACAAAUGGGGGAGAAUGUCAAGGACCGCAGCUUUACUUAGCCCCUUGACACUAUCGCAGCCGCAGUUUGCCCAACUUCGGCCGCACAUUGUAAAUAUUACUUCAAGUUUGAGUUGUAAUUUUCGUUUCAUUGUAAUAGUUAUUUUAAUUGUAAAAUAGCUCUGAUAUUGGUAAAAGAUUAGUAUGAUUCCUCGUCUUUUAAACGUCUAC